GUUUAACCAACCUCUUAUAUACAGUCAAGAUCACAGAUUUAUGGGAAAAAAAUGGGGUUAGAGGCACAAACACGUAAACACUUCAAUGACAAAUUAGAAAAAGAUAGGAAGCUCAUACAAAUGGUAGCAUAGUUAUAUACUUUCUAAGUGGUUAGGAAAUAGAUAAAUAAUUCAAUAUGAAACUUUACCUUGACAGAGAGACCUGAUGUUUACUUGGGAGGAGGCCUCAGAAUUAUAGCCUGAGAGUCAGUGAAGUGGCGAAGCGAGAAUGAUCUGAAAUCUGCCAGAGUUGUAAUGCCAGCUCUGUAAUGGUGUGGCUCGCAGCACAGCUGACAUAACAGGUAGAUCUGAGGAGUGCGCAUGUGUGCAUUUUGUACAUUCCUAUGCAUUUUGGUUCAGAACGGGGCAGUUUUUCUAUUGUCAUGUAGUUUUUCCUCACUUAUGAAAUUGCACAUAAGCAAAAGUGGAAUGUGCAUCAUGCUUAAACUGUUCCUUAACUAUCAAUCUCAUUGCAACAGAUUUCUGUUUUCAAAGGAAGCAUCAUAGCAGGGCCCCGCCUGAUGUCACUUCAACUCUGAGUGCCAACAUGAAAACACACAAAAGCCUAUUUUCCAACUUGUAGAUCAGAAAACAGGCCUGAUACUGGGAGACAUGUUUUCAUAUCAAGUAUGCAGCAUUCUGACAAAGCUCCUCCAUCCCCACCUUUCUCAGGGGUGCAUACCUUCUCUGCCCUGUGCAUGCAGACAGGCAAAUUUGAGUGGGAUAUUACCAAACGGCAAAUACAUGGCACAUGUUGCCUGGAUUCACAAAGUAAUCCUCGGUUAAAUACAGAUCCACUGAAAUUUUGCUUUAUCUUCACUUUUUGUCAUCUGCCCUUGCCACUAGUUAAAGGGCAGAAAUUCACCUGGACGCUGGGUGUUUUUGUAAUCGAUCUCCAGGAAUGCACGUUUUAAAUAUCUCAAUGACGGCCCAAGAUUCUCAAUUUUCAUGUGACAGUGGCAACAGGUCUGAUGGAAAGCAGCAGAUAGCCUUGUGAUGUGUCAAAGUGGCACCAGUGUCCAAUGAAACUGAUUCCUGCUGGAAGAUGUCACUUAAUAUGGCAUUAUCUAGACUACCCACGUAAACCCAGUUGACUUGCCAUCUGUUCCACAGUGAAACUGGCACAGUCUCUAAGAGGAAACAUACUGCCAUCCUAUAUAAUGGCCAUUGGGAUGGAAAGCCAAUUGACCAUGAUAAGUUCUGUUGAUUAAUUGUUGAUGUUAAAAUAAAGAUUGUAAGCCAAAAAAAGUUUAUAAGACU
This 1299-nucleotide long non-coding RNA is filed under the name Vulpes vulpes (red fox). RNAcentral's name for it is "lncRNA (ENSVVUG00000007553.1)". Lineage: Eukaryota; Metazoa; Chordata; Mammalia; Carnivora; Canidae. The record is from RNAcentral.